GUUACUGGUAGAACAUGUAAGUGUAUAAAAGCAACCAAAAAAAUUUUGUGUUCCUUCAAUUCUGAUUUUUGAGGCGAUCCAAAGAAGACGAUGUCGAUGCUCUUGAGAAUUGAGACUGCUUCUGCAAACUCCAAGGUUGUGUAGCAUUGGAGUUUUCUCUAAAGGAAGCCUAUUCAAAUUACCUUGCUGGAACAUGUACCUGCUUGGCAAAACCAUGUCUGUAUUACUAGCAAGCUAAUGCCACUAAGAUGAUGUAAGGCAUAUCUUAAAACAUAUAUAAAUAGAUAUAAAUAAAUAAUAUGUCCCUAUCAAUCUCACACAUUAAUGUUAAUUAGAAAAAUAUAAACAUCAAGAAAGUGACCUCAACUAUGUUAUUUUAGAGGGAGGUAUGCCCUGAAUGUGAUGUGAGCUACCAAGAGAGAUACGUAGAAAGUUAAUUGAUAUAUUCAAAGAUUUAUGGAAGAAAUCAAGAUAAUUCUAGCU
Molecule: long non-coding RNA, 483 nt
Organism: Quercus robur (English oak)
Lineage: Eukaryota; Viridiplantae; Streptophyta; Magnoliopsida; Fagales; Fagaceae
Exons: 2
Source: RefSeq, a predicted model, not a curated record